GAGAGGGAACGAUCGUGUGAAUCAUUGUGACUCAGAUAAAGAACAUGAAGGAGGGAGAAUAUAACAAGAGAAAAUAAAUUCAGUUCGACUGUGUAAAUCGAGCCUUUAAAGGAUUUUCGUGAUGUUUUCUUUUUUCUUUUUUUUCUCUCUCCCUCUCUUUUUUUUGUUUUUAUAUAUUCAAACAUAACGUAUAACGUAUAUAUUAUAUCGACGUAUGGUUAUCUUUGUGUAAUAUGCGCGAUAACGUACGAUCAAUAAGUAUCCUUUCGUUUAUUUAUUUGUUGGAGAAAAUGUGCUCUGAAAAUAGAAUCGAAUAGUAAAAAUGAAUAAGAAAAAAAAAAUAAUAAUAGUAAAUAAAUAAAUAAAGGAAAAGAAGGCAAUGAAAUUUUUAUAAAAUUGUUAAUUUGGAUUCGUUGAGAGAUAUCGAUAAUAAUUGAGAAUAGAAGUAAUUCGGGGUGAUAAGGAAAACUGAAAAGUUUCUUUUUCGAAUAGAUUUAAAUUAAAUCGAUAGAAAACAAUAUCUAACGACAAAUACUACGAGGUUUCAGAUAAUUUAUAGAAGUCACAUCAACAAAUGGAAACGUUCGACUCGAAGGACUGCCGGGGUUAGACUAGUAAACAGCAGAUAGUAGGAAAUGAUUCCUUAAAUAUUUAAGAAACGUUCAAUGUCAGUCGUCUUGUUUUAUCCAAGGAUAAGUUUCCUAUUUCGACUCACCAAAAUUUUCAGAAAAUAAUGUUUCCUCUGGCGAACGGAAGUCGUCUUCGUCUUCUGUUUAUCGAUCGCUAUGAUCGUAAUGGUUGAAAGUUAUAAAUGACUAAAGGGAAAAUAUAAAAUGGGUAGUUUCUCGGAAGAAGAGCGGAAGGUCUUUUGCCGAUGGAAGACGUAUCCAUAACGACGAAUGUGUCACAACACGCAUAUUCGUAUGAACAAAAAAGAAAGAAGAAAAAAAAGAAACAAAUUUGUCGAAUUUAUAUAUGGGAUCAUUUAUCUAUUUGCUUCACAUUUUUCUUCUUUUUAGAACUUCGAAUCUCUUUCUAAAGUAGUUUCAUUAUUCUAAUAACAAUUAUUUGGAUUGUGAAGUAUUUUUUGAAUAAAUAACAUGAUCAUUUUUGUUAUUAGUGGGUUAGU
Long non-coding RNA from Vespa crabro (European hornet), 1129 nucleotides. RefSeq lists it as uncharacterized. Lineage: Eukaryota; Metazoa; Arthropoda; Insecta; Hymenoptera; Vespidae. The transcript has 4 exons. The record is from RefSeq and is a predicted model, not a curated record.